UAUUUAUUUAUUUAUUAAAAUUUUUAUUUUAUUUUAUUUAUGAUAGGCACACAGUGAGAGAGAGAGAGGCAGAGACACAGGCAGAGGGAGAAGCAGGCUCCAUGCACCAGGAGCCCAACGUGGGAUUUGAUCCCAGGUCUCCAGGAUCGCACCCUGGGCCAAAGGCAGGCACUAAACCACUGCGCCACCCAGGGAUCCCUGAAUCCAGCUUCUCUCAGAGAUGUGUCAGUUGAUUGUGAGUUAUGUUUACAUUUCAAGCACAGGACAAGUCGUAUAACAUCAUGAGAUGGAAAAAGAACACAAGUUUUCCCAGAAAGGACUUUGGGUUCCUGAAGCCAAUGAUUAACAAGCCUUUAAGGUAAAUAGGGGAAGAUUCAGGAUCAGUAAAGGAAUAGGUGAAUUUUGGAUUGCCUCUAGAGAAGCAUUUCUAGCUUCGUAAAUUUUGUAAGAUAAGGAAAGCUGCUUUCAAAUCCUCACAGAACUGGGUUGCAAGUCAAAUAACUUUAUAGGUUGAUCUACUCAUCUGAUUCCAUUUUCCUCAAUUUGCUUUUCCCCCUCUGGGUACAUUUUAUUAGUUUCCUGCAUGGAUAGUAUCCUGUCAGGGUUUUUAGAAGCUUUGAAAUACCAAUCAAAAUACGCAUCCCACUUAGAUUGUCUAAUUCAAUGGCCAGCUUUCUCAAGUUGGGUCCGCACAUAGUAAUUAGGUAUUUUAAAGGAUCCUCAUUUAGGCUAUUUGAGAGUUAAAACCAUCCGAAGUAUAAUCCUUAAAAAACCUUCUGACCUCCUUCACCCAGAGAUUUCUAGGCUCAAACUUCAAUAAGGAUUUAAUCCCACAGGGUAUUGACCAAGGAAAUUUUUCUUUUAAAACAUUUCCCCUGAGCGUUCCUUUAGGCUUUGCAAUUAACAAAACAGAGAGCACUAAUUAUUGUGGCAGAGCCAAGCUCACUUUUUGCCCAGUCCUUUCAGGUGCGGAACAAAGGAUGUUCAGGUGGAUGUUCCCUUAACCUCUAAGGUCAUGGGAUAGGUGAGUUCAGUUACCAGGGACCAAGUGGGAUGGUCCUAGUGGAGAACCCAAGGUGACCAAUUGCCAGAGUUAAGUGAGCACUAGAUGAGCGGCUGCUGCCAACAGCUUUGCUCUCAGACCACCCAGGCACACAAACCACCAACAUGCCCCAUCUGGGUGGCCCAGAUUUAUAACCCAACUUAAAGGGAUCAUCGUUUGGGGUACUUUAAAUUCAACAUAACCCAAAGGGGUGUUGAAAGCAAAGAACUUUUUAUCACUUGUUACAAGCAGGGAGACAGGGAGACAGCUCUCAAAGCACUGUCUCUUUACUCAUAAUUCCUUUUCUGUGGAG
RNAcentral lists this long non-coding RNA (1355 nucleotides) under Canis lupus familiaris (dog). Its description in RNAcentral is "lncRNA (ENSCAFG00000052510.1, ENSCAFG00845024288.1)". Lineage: Eukaryota; Metazoa; Chordata; Mammalia; Carnivora; Canidae. The record is from RNAcentral.